This 525-nucleotide small RNA is filed under the name Pan troglodytes (chimpanzee). Its description in RNAcentral is "processed transcript". The record is from RNAcentral. Lineage: Eukaryota; Metazoa; Chordata; Mammalia; Primates; Hominidae.
CUUCGGGGCUUCCUUUGCAUGGUAUAGUUGGUGAGGCUCUGGGGAAACCCACGAGUUCACAGAAGUCAAUAAGGGCUUCAGAUGAAUUAGCAAUUUGUGAUCAUAUUGGGUUAAAUUUUCUAGAUCUCAGAUUUUGCUUGAAAUAUAAGCCAAAGAAAUGAAAAAAGGUUUGGCUCAGAAAGGAUAACUUUGAUGAACAAAGAUCUAAUAUCCAGCAUUCCUGCUGGGUCUAGUUUUUGGAAGCGGUGACCCCAUUGGCUUCAGCAAAGCAAAUACCAUCCAAGUAGAACUGGCCUUAUUGAGAAGAGCAGAAUCUAACUUUCCUUUUUCUUUCCCAGCACACAUUUCCAGUAUUAUUUUAUAGAAUUCUUUUGGAAAUUAAAAAUAAAAAGGAUCAGGAUUCAUGUAUUAGGGAGGCUUCUUUUCCCAAUCUACUCUCAAAUCACACAGACAAAUAAACCUAAAGCUCACUCUAGUCACUUUUGACUGCCUAUUUUAAAGAAGCACAGCUCAGUAAAAGAGAGC